GAAAGGACGCGUGUUUGUUCCCCGCUCUCCACUCCCAACUCGCCCCCGUACAGUCGUCGCCUCUCCCCCACAUCCCCAUCUUGCCGCCGCUCCCGCAGUCCUUCCCGUCCCCCCGGGAGCAUCGAACCCCGCGUCAGAGUUCAGCGGCAGAGCCGCCAGCCCUCCGCCGGAUUUGAGCGGCAGGAGCAGAGCGAAUCACCGAGCAACAAAUAAAAAGGAUUCUAGAUCGAGGAGGGAGCAAGCCAUUGCAGAGGAGAGGGGAGACGAUGGUUGGUGGAGGUCAGGCAUCGGCAGUGGAGACGAGGAAGAGCGCGAGAGGUGACGCCGGCCGGAUGAGAUGUGGCAGCGGAGCCCAAGACAGAGCAGCACAUUCUUGUCACCCUUCUCCUUGCCUCCACCCAAGCGGCUCCCUGCAGAGGAGAACUCGAUGAUAGCUCUCAGUUCAUGGAGAAAAGGCUGGCACCAGCAGAGAAAUCUCACGGGUAGAUGAGCAACAUGUUUUUGAUCUUGAAUCCCCUUUUAAAUUCAGAUUGACACUUCAAUGGCUCAUUGAGAUGAAAGUGCCAACGAAUGAUUCCCACGGGAAGAAGCAGUUUCCAAACAAGGAAGGUAUCCUUGCUAGGUUGUUGCCAUGAAGAUGGGAGAAACAUCCUGGUCUAUGAGUCCAUGAUGAAUGGGAUUCUGAAAGAGCAUCUUCAUGUUUGAAGCUGUCCAGACCUGUAAAAUAGAUAUGCUUUGUAACCUUGAUAUAAUAGUAUAUACAUGACUAAAGGAGCGGACAUCGUCGUCGUCGUGAAGAUGCUCUAUCCCGUUUAAAAAAGAGGGUCGACGGUGCUGAUUUGUUGUUUUGUCUUCUGUUGUGCGUCUAAUCACUGUGUUUGCUAGAAGGUGGAGCUCGAGCCGAGGAGCUCAGCCUCGAUCCGGAUGAGGGGAGCAGCAGCCACAUCCCCUUCUUCGCGCACGCCUCCAGUUUAUUUACUUGUGAUGCAUUCAUCUCUCUAGAAAGAGCAUCUUGAGAAGAAGCUCUCGACUAAGAGACAUGAGUUCCUGUUAAUCUAAUGUUCCAUAUGUUUGUUAUACUACUUGGAGCCUUGGACCUUUGGCCUUUUGUCAUUUAUGUUUUUAAUCGAUUCCAUACAACAAUUUAGUCUUGGCUGUCUUAGGUGUAGCCACUAGCGAUACAGUUUCAUCCAAAGUGGUCAAUGAGGCCUUUGUAUUCUCUGAUUUGCAGCAAAGUGGGACUCCCAAGUCUUCAACCAAAAUAGAAAUCGGGAAUGGAGCAAGAGUUCUGUUGGGCAUCCUCUGCAUUUUCCAUAUCAGGUUCCAUUCUUCAUAGUAUGUGUGUAAACAUAGCAAUCCACUUCAGUUCACAAUGUCAUUUAAUACGGGAUGCAUUAGGUACUAUGUUUCCAUUAUGAACUGGUAAUAAUUAAGAGCAUAGUACGGUGACCAUAAUCUGUGUUAUAGCAGAAUGUAGAUGUGGUAUGCUUGUACGAAUAAAAUGCAGAGUUUAGAAAUGAACUAAGAUCGGAGAGCAGGAAGUGAUAGGCUUAUUUUUCAGUUAGAAAGAUAUGUAUACUGUAGCAUCAUAUACUUGUCAGGUUCAUGUUUUAUACAUCAUUUAUACACCCGCAUAAACUAAAGUUUGUUGUUUCAGCAGUAAACAGGGGCACGACUAAGUAAUAUGGGUAGAAAAAUAAGAGCUUAUGAAAAGAAUAGUAUCUCUAUUGCAGAUGUGUGAGAGCACCCCAUUAUCAUGCAAAUAGUACCAGGUUUAGAGCCUUGAUUAUGGUGGAUAUAAACACAAAUAAUCCAUCUUAUAAUUUUGUAUACAAACCACAUUCUGGUGGGAAUUACUCCAAUUAGAAUUCUAGCUGCAGCAUAUAUCUAAUUGGUCCCACAUUGAAAAUCUCAAAUGUUAACCUCUGAAAUACAGUACGCACUUGUCGGUGUGGUGUUGCUCCGUACACACUACCGCAGGAUGCUGCUAACGCGACACUACGAUCAGACGCCCUUCGAGAAACUGUGUGCGAUGCCAUAAUCGCAAACGGUGCUGUAUGAAAACCGUCAGAAAUGUGUAAAACGUUUGCGAUGAUGGAUGCAUCAAACACGGUUCAGGUUUUAGUUGCGUGUGCGAUGAAGGGCAUACGGUUCAGUUCAAUGAACUGUUUGCGAUGAGGAGGAACAAAAGAAACGGGAAGCCAGAUGGAGGCAUGUGCGAGACACAGCAUACGGUUCACUCGGAUGAACUGUUUGUGAUUAGGCAACACAAAAGAAACGGCCAGCCAGAUCAAAGGUGUGUGCGAUGUACAGCAUACGGUUCACUCGGAUGAACUGUUUGUGAUUAGGCAACACAAAAGAAACGGUCAGCCAGAUCAAAGGUGUGUACGAUGUACAGCAUACGGUUCACUCGGAUGAACUGUUUGUGAUUAGGCAA
Molecule: long non-coding RNA, 2437 nt
Organism: Triticum aestivum (bread wheat)
Lineage: Eukaryota; Viridiplantae; Streptophyta; Magnoliopsida; Poales; Poaceae
Exons: 6
Source: RefSeq, a predicted model, not a curated record